Molecule: long non-coding RNA, 1199 nt
Organism: Helianthus annuus (common sunflower)
Lineage: Eukaryota; Viridiplantae; Streptophyta; Magnoliopsida; Asterales; Asteraceae
Exons: 4
Source: RefSeq, a predicted model, not a curated record
CGCUCCACACCCCGUUUCAUAACCUGCUCCAAAAAAGUUAAUACAGAACCAUAUAAACACUUCUUCUUUUUCACGAAGCCCUAAUCCUACUACGCAGUUCUCCCACACCCAUACCUAAAUCUAUUCCAUCAUUCAACGAUUUUUUGUUUGGAUCUUGAAGUUUAGGUAAGCUUUCUCCCGUUGGUGAACUAAAUGAUGAGACUCAGCAAACCCUAGAGAUCUCAUCGUCGCUGUUCAAAAUGAUGAACAGAUUCACCAGGGUUCGUAUGUGGGGUAAUCGAUGAGGAUGUUUCGAAUAGAGCAAUGGAAUAUCCAUGAAACUGACUUUACCACUAGAUUACUCCCAGUCCGUGAAUAAUCUUCUGACUGUCUUGACUGAAAUGCGAUUCAUAUUUCAGAUUUUGGCAUGUAUACUCGAUUUUGUUGAUUCGUAUUUUAUUUGCUUUUUCUCUGAUCCGCAAUCAAGAUUGAAGCCAACUAUGAGUUUAGUAACAAAAUCAAAUUUCAAUUUCAUGUUUAUCAAAUGAUCAUCAUCAGUUAUGGAGUGGUCGGAGACGAAGAGAUGAUGAUAAUGAUGGUUUCCAGUGACCGAACGGCCGGAAUGAAAGCGGUGGUGAUGGUCGAUAGUGGUGGUUGCGGUUGGUCGAUAAUGAUUUUUUUUUAAUUAAUAUUUUGUGGAUUGUUUACCAAAACUGGAAGGAGGUUUGUUAAGGUUUUUGUUGAUGUGGGUUGUCUAAAAAAAGCCACAAAAUUGGGUUACUUUUGGUUUAAAUAUUUCCUUGGGUUUAAAUAAAAGGGUUUUAAUAAACAUAAUCCUUGUGGCUAUGGCUAACAAUCGAAAUUUUAUAACCUUUUUUGGUGGCCGGUUGUUAAAGGUAAAAAAGCUAACAUUAUGUGAGAAUUCAUAAAUAAAGACUUUUGAGAUAUUUUUGGUCGUUCUUUGUUUUGUUUAUGAUGAAAUAUUAUGUUUUUUUAUUAAAGUAAUUGGUGGUUGUUUGUGUGUCCGGAACCUUCAAGGAGUUGAAAUCAAUUUGGUUAAGGACUGAGAAAUCUUUUGGUUGUGAUAGGUAUAUGAUUACACCAUAAUGGUCGUAAGUUAUUUUAGGAUUUAAGAUGGAAGAGGCUUCUUGAUUCGGAUGAUGAAAAGGCUGAAGCAUAUCAACUUAUGGGUUUAUUGAAGCAACAAGCCAUCAAUGACA